RNAcentral lists this ribosomal RNA (324 nucleotides) under uncultured Bacillota bacterium. RNAcentral describes it as "bacterial SSU rRNA". It matches the Rfam family "Bacterial small subunit ribosomal RNA", at positions 28 to 351 of the family's 1533-position model. The record is from RNAcentral. Lineage: Bacteria; Bacillati; Bacillota.
GAUGAACGCUGGCGGCGUGCUUAACACAUGCAAGUCGAGCGGAUUGAAGACUUCGGUCUGAUAUUAGCGGCGGACGGGUGAGUAACGCGUGGGUGACCUGCCUUAUACAGGGGGAUAACAGUGAGAAAUCACUGCUAAUACCGCAUAAGACCACACUAUCACAUGGUAGAGAGGUAAAAGGAGCAAUCCGGUAUGAGAUGGGCCCGCGUCUGAUUAGCUAGUUGGAGAGGUAACGGCCCACCAAGGCGACGAUGCGUAGCCGACCUGAGAGGGUGAUCGGCCACAUUGGAACUGAGACACGGUCCAGACUCCUACGGGAGGCAG